GAUGAACGCUGGCGGCGUGCCUAAUACAUGCAAGUCGAACGGACAGACGAUGAGCUUUUUCCUCUGACGUUAGCGGCGGACGGGCGAGUAACACGUGGAUCACAUACCUAUAUUUCUGGGAUAAUUUCGGGAAACCGGUGAUAAUACCAGAUAAUAUAUUGAACCGCAUGGUUCAGUAGUGAUAGACGGCUUGGCUGUUUCUUAUAGAUGGUUCCGCGUCGGAUUAGCUAGUUGGUAAGGUAACGGCUUACCAAGGCAACGAGGCGUAGCCGAUCUGAGAGGGUGAUCGGCCACACUGGAACUGAGACACGGUCCAGACUCCUACGGGAGGCAGCAGUGGGGAAUAUUCGGCAAUGGGCGAAAGCCUGACGGAGCCAUGCCGCGUGAGUGAAGAAGGCCUUCGGAUUGUAAAGCUCUUUUAUUGGGGAAGAAAAGCUGUAGACGUAAACCUGGCCGUUUUGACGGUACCCAAUGAAUAAGCACCGGCUAACUACGUG
This 497-nucleotide ribosomal RNA is filed under the name uncultured bacterium. Its description in RNAcentral is "partial 16S ribosomal RNA". It matches the Rfam family "Bacterial small subunit ribosomal RNA", at positions 28 to 507 of the family's 1533-position model. The record is from RNAcentral.